AAAAUUAGAGUGUUCAAAGCAGGCAGAUCCAAUUUUCUGCCACCGAAUACAUUAGCAUGGGAUAAUGGAAUAGGACCCUGUCCUCCUAUUUUCAGUUGGUUUUGGCAGCGCGAGGACUAGGGUAAUGAUUAAUAGGGAUAGUUGGGGGCAUUAAUAUUUAAUUGUCAGAGGUGAAAUUCUUGGAUUUAUGAAAGAUUAACUUCUGCGAAAGCAUCUGCCAAGGAUGUUUUCAUUAAUCAAGAACGAAAGUUAGGGGAUCGAAGACGAUCAGAUACCGUCGUAGUCUUAACCAUAAACGAUGCCGACCAGCGAUUAGGAGACGUUGAAUACAAAACACCACCAUCGGUUGCGGUCGUCCUUGGCGUCUCGGUUUCGGCCGGGGCGCGCGGGCGGCUUAGCCCGGUGGCACCGGUGAA
RNAcentral lists this ribosomal RNA (416 nucleotides) under Acanthamoeba sp. Its description in RNAcentral is "SSU rRNA". It matches the Rfam family "Eukaryotic small subunit ribosomal RNA", at positions 762 to 1116 of the family's 1831-position model. The record is from RNAcentral. Lineage: Eukaryota; Discosea; Longamoebia; Acanthamoebidae.